This 253-nucleotide ribosomal RNA is filed under the name uncultured bacterium. RNAcentral describes it as "partial 16S ribosomal RNA". It matches the Rfam family "Bacterial small subunit ribosomal RNA", at positions 524 to 776 of the family's 1533-position model. The record is from RNAcentral.
UACGUAGGGUGCAAGCGUUGUCCGGAAUUAUUGGGCGUAAAGCGCUCGUAGGCGGUUUGUCGCGUCUGCUGUGAAAAUCCAGGGCUUAACCCUGGACCUGCAGUGGGUACGGGCAGACUGGAGUGCGGUAGGGGAGAUCGGAAUUCCUGGUGUAGCGGUGAAAUGCGCAGAUAUCAGGAGGAACACCGAUGGCGAAGGCAGAUCUCUGGGCCGUAACUGACGCUGAGGAGCGAAAGCAUGGGGAGCGAACAGG